GAGGCGCAGAGCCAACGGCUACUUCGACAAGACGACUGAGCCACUGAGGGUGAGUCGCCGCGACGCCGUCCCAAUCCCAUCGCCCAUCGUCCCUUUCUUUAAAAUCCUCAUCGUCCUCCACUCCUCCUCUAUCCUCAUCGUUCCUGAGCUCCUCUUCUGCAGCUCUGCUUCAGUCUUCACCGACCACUCACCGGCGCGGUCGUCUCCUCCACCUCCCCGGCAUCCCCCGGCUGCAGCACCGCCUGUGCCCACCUUCAUCUCCCGCGACCUCCUCGCCUCCCUCCCGUCCCCUGACUCCCGUCUUCUUCACGUCAGCCCGCUGCACUUGUGAGUCUCUCUUUCAGUCUCUCUAGAUGGACAAGAAAGAUGUUUGAGGAAAUGCCUAUGAAAAUUUGUGAUGCGUAUAGCACCUAAAUCAGUGAAAGAGCCAAGUUCAACAUCUGUAGUGCCUCUUCUAUUGAGUAGUUCGAACCAAGACUAAAGACUUGGAUCAACAAGUUCAAGCAGACAUCCCUGCUCUUGUAAAACACAGGCCUGCAGUGCAUUUAGAGGAAAAGGAGAAAGCAAAAUACCAAAAUAAUUCCUUUUAUCUUCCAUUCUCAAAUCCACUCAAUAGUCUCAGACUCUCAGAUGGGCUUGCAAACUUGAGAUCUUCCAUGAGGGGACUCAGGGGAGUAGUUAGGAUCACAAAAUUUCUUCCUGAUUUUAUGUUUAAAGGUGUUGGAUUUGAGUGCUUGUAAUCCUGGGAAGAGGACCAAGAGGUUUGCCUCUUCCGUCUGUAUACUACCACUGUAUACUACCCAGUCUGCCAUCCAUGAGCACAAAUUAUGCAUUAAUUUUUAACCUACUUUCCAAUCAUUAGAACUCUCUCUCUCUCUCUCUC
RNAcentral lists this long non-coding RNA (883 nucleotides) under Phoenix dactylifera (date palm). RNAcentral describes it as "long non-coding RNA (PDAC_LNC003373)". The record is from RNAcentral. Lineage: Eukaryota; Viridiplantae; Streptophyta; Magnoliopsida; Arecales; Arecaceae.